Vulpes vulpes (red fox) is the source of this 121-nucleotide unclassified non-coding RNA. The record is from Ensembl. NCBI's taxonomy places the organism in Eukaryota, Metazoa, Chordata, Mammalia, Carnivora, Canidae.
CAGCCGGGGCCCCAGGGGACAGCGCGGACGCCCAGCCUGCGCUCCCGGCGUCACCCCGAGGCCGCGCACAACUGAAUAAACACGGCGCAGCGCUGAGAUCUGCCAGGGGCUGGGGCCGCAG